This 1293-nucleotide ribosomal RNA is filed under the name uncultured prokaryote. RNAcentral's name for it is "partial 16S ribosomal RNA". It matches the Rfam family "Bacterial small subunit ribosomal RNA". The record is from RNAcentral.
GAACGCUGGCGGCAGGCUUAACACAUGCAAGUCGAACGUAGUGGCGGACGGGUGAGUAACGCGUGGGAACCUGCCUUUGAGUGGGGAAUAACAGUUGGAAACGACUGCUAAUACCGCAUACGUCCUUCGGGAGAGCCUGCGUCGGAUUAGCUUGUUGGUGGGGUAAUGGCCUACCAAGGCGACGAUCCGUAGCUGGUUUGAGAAGAUGAUCAGCCACACUGGGACUGAGACACGGCCCAGACUCCUACGGGAGGCAGCAGUGGGGAAUAUUGGACAAUGGGGGAAACCCUGAUCCAGCCAUGCCGCGUGAGUGACGAAGGCCUUAGGGUUGUAAAGCUCUUUCAGCGGGGAAGACCCGACGUUACCUACAGAAGAAGCACCGGCAAACUCCGUGCCAGCAGCCGCGGUAAUACGGAGGGUGCGAGCGUUAUUCGAAUUACUGGGCGUAAAGGGCGCGUAGGCGGUAAGCAUAGUCAGGUGUGGAAUCCCCGGGCUCAACCCGGGAACUGCAUUUGAUACUGGCUAACUAGAGUUUGGAAGAGGAGAGUGGAAAUUUCCAGUGUAGAGGUGAAAUUCGUAGAUAUUGGGAGGAAUACCAGUGGCGAAGGCGGCCACCUGGCUCGAUACUGACGCUGAGGUGCGAAAGCGUGGGGAGCAAACAGGAUUAGAUACCCUGGUAGUCCACGCCGUAAACGAUGAGUGCUAGGUCUCGGUGUCGCAGUUAACGCAUUAAGCACUCCGACUGGGGAGUAAGGCCGCAAGGUUAAAACUCAAAGGAAUUUACGGGGGCCCGCACAAGCGGUGGAGCAUGUGGUUUAAUUCGACACAACGCGCAGAACCUUACCAGCCCUUGACAGAUACAGGUGCUGCAUGGCUGUCGUCAGCCCGUGUCGUGAGAUGUUGGGUUAAGUCCCGCAACGAGCGCAACCCUUAUCUUUAGUUGCCAGCAUUAAGCGGGCACUCUGGGGAAACUGCGGGUGACAAGCCGGAGGAAGGUGGGGAUGACGUCAAGUCCUCAUGGCCCUUAUGAGCUGGGCUACACACGUGCUACAAUGGCAGUGACAAUGGGGCGCGAAGGGGCAACCCGGAGCCAAUCCCCAAAAACUGUCUCAGUUCGGAUUGCACUCUGCAACUCGAGUGCAUGAAGUUGGAAUCGCUAGUAAUCGUGGAUCAGCAUGCCACGGUGAAUACGUUCCCGGGCCUUGUACACACCGCCCGUCACACCAUGGGAGUUGGUUUUACCCGAAGCCGGUGCGCUAACUACCGGCCACGGUAAGGUCAGCGACUGGGGUG